UACAGAGGGUGCGAGCGUUGUUCGGAAUUAUUGGGCGUAAAGGGCGCGUAGGCGGUGCGGUAAGUCACCUGUGAAAUCUCCUGGCUCAACUGGGAGCUUGCAGGCGAAACUGCCGUGCUGGAGUGUGGGAGAGGUGCGUGGAAUUCCUGGUGCAGCGGUGAAAUGCGUAGAUAUCAGGAGGAACACCUGUGGCGAAAGCGGCGCACUGGACCACAACUGACGCUGAGGCGCGAAAGCUAGGGGAGCAAACAGG
Molecule: ribosomal RNA, 253 nt
Filed under: uncultured bacterium
Lineage: Bacteria
Description: partial 16S ribosomal RNA
Rfam family: Bacterial small subunit ribosomal RNA
Source: RNAcentral